AACCAUAGAAACCUGCGGAGUACCUGCGGAGGGAUCAUCAUUGAAAACAAAUUUGGACAAGGGGAUUGUGAUUGACGGGGGAGGGGAAGGUUUUAUUUCCUGAGCCUUGAGAGAACAACCUCUUGGACAAACAACCAAUCUUCAUGACUAGGAAAAAACACAGUAAAGUAAACCAGUGGUUUGGGGGGGGGCAUAAACAACAAACAAGUUCUUGUCUGACAAGUAGUGUUUGGUGAUACU
This 240-nucleotide unclassified non-coding RNA is filed under the name soil metagenome. Its description in RNAcentral is "partial contains 5.8S ribosomal RNA, internal transcribed spacer 2, and large subunit ribosomal RNA". The record is from RNAcentral.